Molecule: long non-coding RNA, 499 nt
Organism: Ipomoea triloba (trilobed morning glory)
Lineage: Eukaryota; Viridiplantae; Streptophyta; Magnoliopsida; Solanales; Convolvulaceae
Exons: 2
Source: RefSeq, a predicted model, not a curated record
UUGAUUUUCUCAUGACGGACUUGGAGAAGAGGACCAUGUUUACUUCCACACCGGUGAAGGCAAGCGCGGCCAAUCCUUCACUCACUGCCCCGUCAACCAAACAAGAUAUACCCAGCAGUAUUCCCGAUUUCCAUCCUCCAGUUUUCCUCUUCAGCGCGGGUUUUCCAUGCCUAUCUGUUGAUCCAUCUCUGGUGUAAGAAUCCAAGAGUCUCAGUUUCCCAUCCUGCAUACAUGGAGAGCUUAAACACAUCAAGGAACAGCUUAAUUCAAAGCAUAAAAAAAAAACAGCCUCUGAGCAGUGUCUUUGGUUUUCACAUGAUGUUAGAAGCAUUCUAUGGCUAGAUUAAUGUUGUUUACUCCUCAUUUCCAACAACAUUAACACCAAAGUUCGGCUUCUUGGGUGACGAGGAAAACCUGUUACUACCCGAGAGUGUGCAUUGCGUAAACUGUUGUGCUAACAAAUUCAUCUUGCUAAAUAAUACCCUACCGAAUUCUAUCA